UACGGAGGGGGCGAGCGUUAUUCGGGAUUAUUGGGCGUAAAGGGCGCGUAGGCGGCUUGAUAAGUCAAAGGUGAAAUCCCUCGGCUCAACUGAGGAACUGCCUUUGAAACUGUCAAGCUUGAGGCCGGGAGGGGGUAGCGGAAUUCCCAGUGUAGCGGUGAAAUGCGUAGAUAUUGGGAGGAACACCAGUGGCGAAGGCGGCUACCUGGACCGGUUCUGACGCUGAGGCGCGAAAGCGUGGGUAGCAAACAGG
Molecule: ribosomal RNA, 253 nt
Filed under: uncultured bacterium
Lineage: Bacteria
Description: partial 16S ribosomal RNA
Rfam family: Bacterial small subunit ribosomal RNA
Source: RNAcentral